Molecule: ribosomal RNA, 265 nt
Filed under: uncultured prokaryote
Description: partial 16S ribosomal RNA
Rfam family: Bacterial small subunit ribosomal RNA
Source: RNAcentral
UACGUAGGUGGCGAGCGUUGUCCGGAUUUACUGGGCGUAAAGGGAGCGUAGGCGGACUUUUAAGUGAGAUGUGAAAUACCCGGGCUCAACUCGGGUGCUGCAUUUCAAACUGGAAGUCUAGAGUGCAGGAGAGGAGAAUGGAAUUCCUAGUGUAGCGGUGAAAUGCGUAGAGAUUAGAAAGAACACCAGUGGCGAAGGCGAUUCUCUGGACUGUAACUGACGCUGAGGCUCGAAAGCGUGGGGAGCAAACAGGAUUAGAUACCCU